ACGGUAGCUAAUACCGCAUAACCUCGUAAGAGCAAAGUGGGGGACCUUCGGGCCUCACGCUAUCGGAUGUGCCCAGAUGGGAUUAGCUAGUAGGUGGGGUAAUGGCUCACCUAGGCGACGAUCCCUAGCUGGUCUGAGAGGAUGACCAGCCACACUGGAACUGAGACACGGUCCAGACUCCUACGGGAGGCAGCAGUGGGGAAUAUUGCACAAUGGGCGCAAGCCUGAUGCAGCCAUGCCGCGUGUAUGAAGAAGGCCUUCGGGUUGUAAAGUACUUUCAGCGGGGAGGAAGGCGAUGAGGUUAAUAACCUUGUCGAUUGACGUUACCCGCAGAAGAAGCACCGGCUAACUCCGUGCCAGCAGCCGCGGUAAUACGGAGGGUGCAAGCGUUAAUCGGAAUUACUGGGCGUAAAGCGCACGCAGG
This 424-nucleotide ribosomal RNA is filed under the name Erwinia sp. J65A. RNAcentral's name for it is "bacterial SSU rRNA". It matches the Rfam family "Bacterial small subunit ribosomal RNA", at positions 156 to 575 of the family's 1533-position model. The record is from RNAcentral. Lineage: Bacteria; Pseudomonadati; Pseudomonadota; Gammaproteobacteria; Enterobacterales; Erwiniaceae.